CCGACCACGGCGAUGAGGCGAAGCCGAGCGACUGGUCAGUCGGUGUGCGGCGCUGCUGCUGUUGCUGCUGCUUUGAGCAGUUGGAGCGAGGCAAUCAAAUCGUACGCUUUGCCGUAAGCACGGCUGUUUAGCGAAUGGCGGCCGCUGCGGCUAACUGCUUGGAUGCCUCCUCACCGAUGCCAAAAUGCGGCAAGGUGAACAAAAUAAAACGGAAAACAGCAAUAGCAACAACAACAACAAACCAGAGAACAAACACAAAAUUAGCCCCCGCUUUCAGUGCUGACAUUAUCGAAUUGACAAAAGAAUUGGCAAACGAAAUGGCCGUAAAAAACAGACAACAACAGCAAAGCAGAGCGAAAAGUGUGAAGGCGACACGCUGAAAGGCAAACCAAACAGAAAUAAACAUGAAAAGGCAAUCGCCGACGUCAACGCUGACCGCGCGACUGCUUUGACAUAACCGUUAUGCAGGCACUCAAAGUACAGUCAGAUAACAUUACAACUUGUUAGCGAAUCGGAAAAGGAAAUGAACAAACUUUGAGCUAUGAAGAGAAAAUUAAACUUGGCCUUCCAUAUAUUUCUUUCUCUCUCUCGCUAUUUCAUGUGCUCAGGAACUUAAAAGUGUUGAAUACUAUUUUAUAUUGUAUUUGAAUUAUUUAAUUUACUAUAUUUGAAAAUGCCAUAGAAAAUAGUAGAAAAACUUGCAAAAAUCUUCAAAUAUUUUUUGUUGAACAAUAAAAUAAAAAAUAAAAAAAUGGAUUUGACUAUUAUAUGUUAGAUAUAUAAGGUAUUAUUGCUGUUAUGUAUG
Drosophila mojavensis is the source of this 805-nucleotide long non-coding RNA. RefSeq lists it as uncharacterized. The transcript is spliced from 3 exons. The record is from RefSeq and is a predicted model, not a curated record. Lineage: Eukaryota; Metazoa; Arthropoda; Insecta; Diptera; Drosophilidae.